This 257-nucleotide long non-coding RNA is filed under the name Gossypium barbadense (sea-island cotton). RNAcentral's name for it is "long non-coding RNA (GBAR_LNC011092)". Lineage: Eukaryota; Viridiplantae; Streptophyta; Magnoliopsida; Malvales; Malvaceae. The record is from RNAcentral.
AAAUUUUAGACUUGUUUGUUAGGCCCAGUUUUGGCCUAAAAUUUAUAGAAGCCCGGUCGGAAUAAAAAGUUAAAACUUGAGCUCGGCCUAGCACUUAGUAAUUUUUUUAAAAAAUAUUAUACAUCAAAAAAUACUAAAAACAUUAAAAUAAAUAUUUCCCAACAAAGUGAAAAUAAAUUUUAAAAAUAUUUAUACUUGAAUAACACUAAGAUAGGUGCAACUUAACAAGUAAAUACCUCUAAAAUAGUAACAAAAUU